RNAcentral lists this transfer RNA (73 nucleotides) under Candidatus Dadabacteria bacterium. RNAcentral's name for it is "tRNA-Thr". It matches the Rfam family "tRNA". Rfam says of the family: Transfer RNA (tRNA) molecules are approximately 80 nucleotides in length. Their secondary structure includes four short double-helical elements and three loops (D, anti-codon, and T loops). The record is from RNAcentral. Lineage: Bacteria; Pseudomonadati; Thermodesulfobacteriota; Candidatus Dadabacteria.
GCCAAGGUAGCUCAGCUGGUAGAGCAGCUCACUCGUAAUGAGCAGGUCGUGGGUUCGAGUCCCAUCCUUGGCU